Molecule: non-coding RNA, 30 nt
Filed under: Mus musculus (house mouse)
Lineage: Eukaryota; Metazoa; Chordata; Mammalia; Rodentia; Muridae
Source: RNAcentral
GGAACGCCACGGUCUGGUAGACUCUUCUAU